AUUGAACGCUGGCGGCAGGCCUAACACAUGCAAGUCGAGCGGAUGAAGGGAGCUUGCUCCUGGAUUCAGCGGCGGACGGGUGAGUAAUGCCUAGGAAUCUGCCUGGUAGUGGGGGAUAACGUCCGGAAACGGGCGCUAAUACCGCAUACGUCCUGAGGGAGAAAGUGGGGGAUCUUCGGACCUCACGCUAUCAGAUGAGCCUAGGUCGGAUUAGCUAGUUGGUGGGGUAAAGGCCUACCAAGGCGACGAUCCGUAACUGGUCUGAGAGGAUGAGCAGUCACACUGGAACUGAGACACGGUCCAGACUCCUACGGGAGGCAGCAGUGGGGAAUAUUGGACAAUGGGCGAAAGCCUGAUCCAGCCAUGCCGCGUGUGUGAAGAAGGUCUUCGGAUUGUAAAGCACUUUAAGUUGGGAGGAAGGGCAGUAAGUUAAUACCGUGCUGUUUUGACGUUACCAACAGAAUAAGCACCGGCUAACUUCGUG
This 484-nucleotide ribosomal RNA is filed under the name uncultured bacterium. RNAcentral describes it as "partial 16S ribosomal RNA". It matches the Rfam family "Bacterial small subunit ribosomal RNA", at positions 30 to 507 of the family's 1533-position model. The record is from RNAcentral.